This is a long non-coding RNA of Ricinus communis (castor bean), 938 nucleotides long. RefSeq lists it as uncharacterized. The record is from RefSeq and is a predicted model, not a curated record. The transcript has 2 exons. NCBI's taxonomy places the organism in Eukaryota, Viridiplantae, Streptophyta, Magnoliopsida, Malpighiales, Euphorbiaceae.
UACCAACCCAACCAAUCACCUAAACACGUUAAUGGAAAGUUGCAAAAUAAAGGUACCAAUUAUCGAGAGGUUUCCCUACUGUUAAAGAAAGAAAAUCCCAUCAACAGAUGUUUAAUAUUAUUUCAAAAAUGAACGAUACAGAUGGAACCUCGAUCCCAUUCCUUAGCCUAUAUAAUGAGCCUCUCUACUUCAUAAGCCUUGCAAGUUGCGAUCAGUUCUUUCUUCUCCAUUGUUGUUUCUGUUAUCUUUUCCUUUUUUUUUUUUUUUUUUGCUUAAUAGCUUUCUGAGGGGCAUACUUCACUCGAAAAGUGUGGUGGUACCAAGCCAGUAGGCUGUGGAAAUUUAGAAUAUUUAUAUGGUUUUCUUGUAUUUUAAUAUAAAGUAGGGUUUCUGGUUAGGCGUAAUGGUGCUCUCUUCACUCCUGUUGUAAAAGGAGGUGAUGGUAGGCCACGGCUGCUAGUUCAUGAAUACCCCUGGCUGCGCAGGAUUAAAGUAAUAAAGUUUGCGCAGGCUAAGGGUUUGCAUGACCUGGGAGACGUGGUUACCUUCUUCUUUUUUAUAUUGGAGUGAAGGGAGCUCUGUUGUCUCUCUCGUUUACUUCUGUGGAAGAUUCCAGCUAACCGUACAAGAGGGCAAUUGCGUAUAAGAACUAAUGCUGUGUCUGGAGCAUAAUAAAACGAUGAGAUAGCUUCUUGUUCCCACAAUCUUAUCCUUCUGUUGGACAUUGGCGAGAAUCUGACAUAGAAAAAGUUACAGUAUGAUGGAUAUUUCAUAUUUAAAGUUAUAUAAUUGUUUCUCAAGGUCUGAAAUGCAGCAUUUUGUAAAAUCAAAAUGUGAUUUCAUUCCAAUUAUGUAUGCAAUCGAAGGUAGUCUACUGGAAGUUUAACUCUUGUUUUCUUUUAUAAUAAAUAAACAUGAAGAUUAUUUCUCCUUUUUUA